AUUAAGGUUUUAUCUGCCCAAUGAGGUAUUAAAUGGCCGCGGUAUUUUGACCGUGCAAAGGUAGCAUAAUAAUUAGUUUUUUAAUUGGAAGCUGGAAUGAAUGAUUGGACGAGAAAAAUAUCUGUCUCAGAAUAAUUUAUUUUGAAUUUUAUUUUUAAGUAAAAAAGCUUAAAUUUUUUUAAAAGACGAGAAGACCCUAUAGAGUUUAAUAAAAUAUUUUAUUUUAUUUAAUAGGAAUUUUAUAUUAAAAUAUUUUUUUUUUUAUUUUGUUGGGGUGAUAGAAAAAUUUAAUUAACUUUUUUUUAAAAAAAACAUUAAUUUAUGAUUUUAUGAUCCAUAAUUUUUGAUUAUAAGAUUAAAUUACCUUAGGGAUAACAGCGUAAUUUUUUUUAGAGUUCUUAUCGAAAAAAGAGUUUGCGACCUCGAUGUUGGAUUAAAAUAAAUAUUUGGUGUAGAAGCUUGAUAAUUAGGUCUGUUCGACCUUUAAAAUUUUACA
RNAcentral lists this ribosomal RNA (496 nucleotides) under Triodontella sp. 835150. Its description in RNAcentral is "partial 16S large subunit ribosomal RNA". The stretch from base 371 to 496 matches the Rfam family "Archaeal large subunit ribosomal RNA", at positions 2542 to 2669 of the family's 2987-position model. Lineage: Eukaryota; Metazoa; Arthropoda; Insecta; Coleoptera; Scarabaeidae. The record is from RNAcentral.